AAUACAUUCGAACCGUCAGUCUACCGAGCAAUAUCACCCGCUCGGUGGAAGAUCUUCCCUUUGUCAU
RNAcentral lists this microRNA precursor (67 nucleotides) under Bombyx mori (domestic silkworm). RNAcentral's name for it is "mir-2774 microRNA precursor family". It matches the Rfam family "mir-2774 microRNA precursor family". Lineage: Eukaryota; Metazoa; Arthropoda; Insecta; Lepidoptera; Bombycidae. The record is from Rfam by way of RNAcentral.